This 56-nucleotide transfer RNA is filed under the name Bicosoecida sp. CB-2014. It matches the Rfam family "tRNA", at positions 10 to 63 of the family's 71-position model. Rfam says of the family: Transfer RNA (tRNA) molecules are approximately 80 nucleotides in length. Their secondary structure includes four short double-helical elements and three loops (D, anti-codon, and T loops). Lineage: Eukaryota; Bigyra; Bicosoecida. The record is from RNAcentral.
GUCUAGUGGUCCAGGACACCGCCCUUUCACGGCGGUAACAGGGGUUCGAACCCCCU